RNA transcript from Nomascus leucogenys (northern white-cheeked gibbon), 1119 nucleotides. It is a transcript of the gene named 60S ribosomal protein L6 pseudogene, with no coding region annotated. The transcript has a single exon. Lineage: Eukaryota; Metazoa; Chordata; Mammalia; Primates; Hylobatidae. The record is from RefSeq and is a predicted model, not a curated record.
CUGAAUCAAAAAAGUAUAAAAACAUCUUUUAUAAUUUAAAAAGAUAGUUCCAUUUUAUAAAGAUCAAGGAUCACAUAAACUAGGUGAUAGAGCAGGAGCACUGUCAUCUCGGACAAACACCGCCACUUUAAAUUCCGUCUCCCAUUCUAGCCUCAUGCAUUUCAAGGAAACCUCUUCUAACUACAGAAAGAGCAGCCAGAAAGAGCAGACAGGAAAACACAGACAAGACAGCUCGCUCUUUCCCAUCUUGCAAGAUGGCGGGUGAAAAAGUUGAGAAGCCAGAUACUAAAGAGAAGAAACCCGAAGCCAAGAAGGCUGAUGCUGGUGGCAAGGUGAAAAAGGGUAACCUCAAGGCUAAAAAGCCCAAGAAGGGGAAGCCCCAUUGCAGCCGCAACCCUGUUCUUGUCAGAGGAAUUGGCAGGUAUUCCUGAUCUGCCAUGUAUUCCAGAAAGGCCAUGUACAAGAGGACGUACUCAGCCACUAAAUCCAACGUUGAAAAUAAAAAGAAGGAGAAGGUUCUUGCAACUGUUACAAAACCAGUUGGUGGUGACAAGAACGGCGGUACCCAGGUGGUUAAACUUCGCAAAAUGCCUAGAUAUUAUCCUACUGAAGAUGUGCCUUGAAAGCUGUUGAGCCACCGCAAAAAACCCUUCAGUCAUCACGUGAGAAAACUGCGAGCCAGCAUCAUCCCCAGGACCAUUCUGAUCAUCGUCACUGGACGCCACAGGGGCAAGAGGGUGGUUUUCCUGAAGCAGCUGGCUAGUGGCUUGUUACUUGUGACUGGACCUCUGGUCCUCAAUCGAGUUCCUCUACGAAGAACACACCAGAAAUUUGUCAUUGCCACCUCAACCAAAAUCAAUAUCAGCAAUGUAAAAAUCCCAAAACAUCUUACUGAUGCUUACUUCAAGAAGAAGCUGCCAAAGCCCAGACACCAGGCAGGUGAGAUCUUCGACACAGAAAAAGAGAAAUAUGAGAUUACGGAGCAGCGUAAAGAUUGAUCAGAAAGCUGUGGACUCACAAAUUUUACCCAAAAUCAAAGCUAUUCCUCAGCUCCAGGGCUACCUGUGAUCUGUGUUUGCCCUGACGAAUGGAAUUUAUCCUCACAAGUUGGUGUUCUAA